UAUAAAUAAAAAUUAUACAUCAAAAUAUGUAAAAUAUGGGCGCAAAUAAUUAUACAUUUACUUUUUUAAAUAUUUUUUACUCACAAAAAAGUAAAUACGUUCAUAUAUAACAAGAAAAAGAGAGCGAAAAAAAGGCAAACAAGAGUGACGAAGCGAAAGCAAAAGUAACAAAGCAUAAACAAAAACAAAAGCGAAAGCGAAAAUAACAAAACAUAAACACAAACAAAAGCGAAAGCAAAAGCAAAAGCAUCUUUGAGCGCCCCCUAUGUAAUAAAUUAAACAUUAAAAAUAAACAUUUUAUAAAAAAAAAAAAAAAAAAAAACAUCCUAAAUGAAAAUUAGUUUAUCUUUAAAUAAAAAAAAAGGAAAGGAUAAAAAUAAAGAAUGCAACAUCCCUUCAAGCAAUGCAAGAAAUAAAGUAGAAUCAGCAUUUAGCUCUUCUGAAGAUGAAGAAAACUUUUUAGAAAACAAUAAGAACAAAGAAAUAGAGAUAGAACACAAUGAAAAUAUAGAAAAACAAUUAAAAGAAUUUAUCAAUGAGCAUUCCAAUCCGAUAAUGGAAAAAAAAAACGAAGAAGAAAACAGAGAAGAGAAUUUAGAAAAUGAAAACAAAAAAAACAGGAUCCAAUAUCUAGGCUUCAAAAGUGAUGAAUUAACAAAUAUGUAUAAUGAGAAAUUCAAAGAUAAAGAAACUAAAAGCACAUAUGGUAAAAGCGAGAAAAAAAAUGAAGAAAAAAAAAUUGAUUUUAAAAAGGGAGAAAGUGGCAAACACAAACUAAAGGAACAAGAAGCUUAUAAUACAAUUUCUUACUCAAAAGGGAAAAUGUAUGAAGAAGAUAAUUAUAAUAAAACAAAAAGCCAUAAACGGAAUAAUAAAACAAGAGAGGAAGAUUUAUGUAUUGAUGAUAUUUUUAAAAAAACAGAAUAUACAGAAAACACAAAGUCCAAAUAUAUGAAUGCUUUAAUUAAUAGUGCUAAAAGAAGAGAAUUGGAAAGGGAAUUAUUAAUUCAAAAGAAAUUAAAAAUAGAUAAAGAAAAAGCUGAAAAGGUGUUUGUUACGAAAGCAUAUAAAAAAAAAAUGAUGGAAAAACAAUUAAUUAAGAAUGAAAUAGAAGAAGAAGAAGAAACAGAAGAAAAAAAAAAUUCAAAUAAACAAACAAAUUUUAAUUUACAUAUGUUCUUAAAAAAUAUAAAUACUGCUUCAAAUUAUGAUAGAUAUAAUAGAGCACGUUACUACGACAAUUCUAACAAUAUAGACGAUAUUGAGUGAGUUAAAAAAAAAAAAAAGAAUGUAGCGAACUGUUUGUAUUUAUAUACAUGUGUACAUGUAUAUAGUUUUUUUUUUUUUUUGUAUUUUAUUUUUAAAAUAGAAGAUGAAAACAAAUGGGGGGAAGCAUAAUGAG
RNAcentral lists this long non-coding RNA (1402 nucleotides) under Piliocolobus tephrosceles (Ugandan red Colobus). RNAcentral describes it as "lncRNA (ENSPTEG00000010244.1)". The record is from RNAcentral. Lineage: Eukaryota; Metazoa; Chordata; Mammalia; Primates; Cercopithecidae.